AUAACUUUAGAUUAACUAUAUAUAAUGGCAUAAUUUUUAAAUUGCCUUAAGGCAAUUCAUAACUUUAGACCGACAUUGUAAGAGUCAACCCAUCUUGUGGUUUAAUACUCUUUUUCUUACUACGAAAUAUUUUUCUACGAAUUACUAAUAUUGUUUUAUUUAUUUUGUGAAGUUUCUCAUUUCUUGAUUUGCACUCAGUUAGAAAAAAGUCCAAAACGUAAAGAACACACGAACAAUUUACUCGGUGUUCACUUCAUUACUCCAAUCCAAAAUAACAGCUAUACUAGGAGGGUUGGAGUUAAGCAACAAUUUACCAA
This 317-nucleotide long non-coding RNA is filed under the name Brassica napus (rape). Its description in RNAcentral is "long non-coding RNA (BNAP_LNC000483)". Lineage: Eukaryota; Viridiplantae; Streptophyta; Magnoliopsida; Brassicales; Brassicaceae. The record is from RNAcentral.